Molecule: non-coding RNA, 24 nt
Filed under: Cricetulus griseus (Chinese hamster)
Lineage: Eukaryota; Metazoa; Chordata; Mammalia; Rodentia; Cricetidae
Source: RNAcentral
UGGGGUGGGGAGGGUAGAAAAGGG